RNAcentral lists this ribosomal RNA (478 nucleotides) under uncultured bacterium. RNAcentral describes it as "partial 16S ribosomal RNA". It matches the Rfam family "Bacterial small subunit ribosomal RNA", at positions 28 to 506 of the family's 1533-position model. The record is from RNAcentral.
GACGAACGCUGGCGGCGUGCUUAACGCAUGCAAGUCGAACGAAGCUUGAUUACGGAUUCUUCGGAUGAAGUAUGAUAUGACUGAGUGGCGGACGGGUGAGUAACGCGUGAGUAACCUGCCCUUCAGAGGGGGAUAGCGUUUGGAAACGAACGGUAAUACCGCAUAAUGUAUUUUGACCGCAUGAUCGAAAUACCAAAGAUUUAUCGCUGAAGGAUGGACUCGCGUCUGAUUAGGUAGUUGGUGGGGUAACGGCCUACCAAGCCGACGAUCAGUAGCCGGACUGAGAGGUUGAUCGGCCACAUUGGGACUGAGACACGGCCCAGACUCCUACGGGAGGCAGCAGUGGGGAAUAUUGCACAAUGGGCGCAAGCCUGAUGCAGCAACGCCGCGUGAAGGAAGACGGUUUUCGGAUUGUAAACUUCUGUUCUUAGUGAAGAAUAAUGACGGUAGCUAAGGAGCAAGCCACGGCUAACUACGU